CUUCAUUUUUGUUAUACAAUGUACAAUUUCUUUAAGGUGUGAAAGUGAUCUCGACAUACCUCAUAAAAUUCCCUACCUUUAUUCUUACAGGGAUACACAGCUUUACACAUUGCAGCACUUCACGGCCAUCGGCAUAUAGUUGACCUUCUUGUUAAUACGUAUGGAGCAAAGGAGAAUCUGAGGGACUACAGCGGUCGUUUUGCAUAUUAUUACCUCAAUAUACGAGAUACGCAAUCAAACAAUCAAGCCAAUGAAUUUUCUGAUGCCAACGAAUGCCACAGUCUUGUCCAGGCCAGCGAGCGCAGAAACAGAAAGAUUACGUCCCUAUUUCAGUCCAUGAAGAAAUGGGGAUCUGCAGAAGAGCUUGCGCCAGUACCAGAGGAGAGGACAGUUGCUCACCAACUCAUGCUACCUGCAUUUAGGCCCAGAAAGUUCUCACGGUAGACUAGGUGAUCUCCAAAAGCAUUCAGUUCUGCUUUAAUGUCUCUUAGUUUCUUUAUAUAUAAAACUGAACUUGUUUGUACUUUUGUACCAUUUUCAGUUAGGACCAAAAGUCUGAGACUUCUAGCUAAAAUGCUGCCAUUUUGCAUUUGUCUUAUUUAAUACAUUUGAUUACAUCAUAUAUUAUCAGCGUAACACGUAUAGUAAAAAGUUGAAUUGAAAAUUUGACAUGAAUUCCAGAUUAUCCUAGUUUUUGGAAUGUGCCCCUUUAAUGACAGCAUGUACUCCAUACGUUUGCGCAAAACCUGACGAUCAUGUUAUCCAGAAUUAUAUAUAUAUAUAUAUAUAUAUAUAUAGUGGCAAGGAAAUGUUGGUGAGCCCUUAGGGUUAAGCUGGUUUUCUGCAUUAAUUGGUCAUAAAAUGUGAUCUCAUCUUCAUCAAAGUCACAAAGUAUAGGCAAACACGAUGGUGCUUAAGCUAACAACACACAAACAAUUAUAAUCUUUCAUAUCUUUAUUGAACACAUCCCUUUAAACAUUCACAGUGCUGUGGAAAAUGUUACUGAACCCUUGGAUUUAAUAACUGGUCAAUCCUCCUAUGGCAGCAGUAAACUCAACCAAGUGUUUCCGGUAGCUGCAGAUUAGACCUGCACAACGUUCAGAAGGAAUUUUGGACUAUUGUUCCUUACAGAACUGCUUCAGCUCAGCCAUAUUUGUAGGAUGUCUGGUGUGAACGGCUCUCUUGAGGUCAUUCCACAGCAUUUCUGUUGGGUUAAGGUCUGUGCUCUGACUGGGCCACUCAAAAAGGUGGAUUUUCUUUUUUGAAGCCAUUCUGUAGUGGAUUUACUUAAAUGUUUAGGGUCAUUGUCCUGCUGCAUAACUCAGCUUCUACUGAGCUUCAGCCAUCCUGAUAUUAUCCUUUAGGAUUUCUUGAUAAACUUGGGAAUUACAUUUUUCUAUCAAUGAUGGCAAGCGGUCCAGGCCUUGAACAAGCAAUGUAGACCCAAAUCACGAUACCCCCUCCGGCGGUGGCCUUUUAACACGAUACGUAGUGCUGCAUGUUCUUCCUAAAUGUUUAAACCGUGGUUUCUUCAGUCCACAAAACUUUUUUGCAUUGUGGAGUGUCAAGGUGGUCUUUGGCAAACUUCAUGCAGCAAUGUUUUUGUUUGAAGAAAAAAGCAGCGGCUUCCUUCAUGCUGUCCUGCCAUGGCCACCAUACCUGUUUAAUGUUUUCCAUAUUGUAGACUCAUGAACUGAGAUGUUGACCAGUUCCAGUGAUUCCUUCAAGUCUUAAGCUGUCACUCUAGGGUUCUUUCUUUACCUCAUUGAGCAUUCUGCGUUGUGUCUUUUGAGUCAUCUUGGCUGGACGGCCACUUCUAGGGAGAGUAGCCACAGUACUAAAUCAUCUCCAUUUAUAGACAAUUUGUCUAACUGUGGACAGAUGAAUAUCUAAGCUCUUCGAGAUUAAUUUGCAAUCCUGUCCAGCUUUAUAUAAAACAACAAUUCUUGAUCGUAAGUCUUCUGAGAUCUAUUUUUGCAAUGCAUGGUAUACAUUAGCAGAUGCUCCUUGUGAAUAGCAAAUUCAAAAUGUCUGAGUGCUUUUUAAAUGUCAAAGUAGCUCUAACACGCCUCAAAUCUCGUUUCAUUAAUUGGAUGUUAGGUUUGCCAACCCCUAACUCUAAAUAGCUUUUGUUUACAUUAGCCUAGGGGUUCACUUACCUUUUCCAACCUACACUUUGACUGUUUGAAUUAUGUAUUCAGUAUGUUCAAGAACAAUACAAUAAUUUGUGUGUUGUUAGUUAAAACAGAUUGUGUUUGUUCAUUAAUAUAACAUUACAGAUUUUAAGACAAAUUUAGACAUUAUUGCAGAUAAUUCCAAAGGGUUCUCAUACUUUUCUUGCCACUGUAUAUACAGUGGGUUAGGGUUAGAAAAAGUGGCAAGAAAAAGUAUGAGAUGUAUAUUCACUGGCCACUUUAUUAUGUACACCUGUACAUCUACUUAUU
Xyrauchen texanus (razorback sucker) is the source of this 2444-nucleotide long non-coding RNA. RefSeq lists it as uncharacterized. The transcript has 3 exons. Lineage: Eukaryota; Metazoa; Chordata; Actinopteri; Cypriniformes; Catostomidae. The record is from RefSeq and is a predicted model, not a curated record.